Zea mays is the source of this 552-nucleotide long non-coding RNA. RefSeq lists it as uncharacterized. Lineage: Eukaryota; Viridiplantae; Streptophyta; Magnoliopsida; Poales; Poaceae. The record is from RefSeq and is a predicted model, not a curated record. The transcript has 6 exons.
AGUUUGUUUCACCGGUUAACAGAAGGACAAGCCUCCACGUCGAUACAAGCAAAUCAACCCAUUUCGUUUGACAAGUACUAAUUGCACACGUCGAUAGAAUCAUAUCUUGUCACCACAUAGCAAGGAAGGCAUCUCCAUUUCGUUUGACAAGAAGGACAAGCCUCCACGUCGAUACAAGCAAAUCAACCCAUUUCGUUUGACAAGGGCACUCUUCUUGUUAUGGAUCAGAUAGGAUACAAUGCUGGUCGCACACCAUUCACAGACAUCUCAAACACCAUCAUUACAGGUAAUCAAAAUGAAUCGAACUCGCUUGGACCAAUUGUUGAUGCUAAGGAACGUAAGAGGCAAAGGGAUAGGGAAAGAUAUGCUGCGAUGACUGUUGAAGAAAAGAAUGAGAAAAAUAGGAAGCGUCGUGAAGCACGUCAACGAAAUAAAGGACUAUCGAUAGAGCCACUCUCAUCCAGAGACUUUAAUACGGACUAGGCAUGUGAGGUGGUUAGCUUUCCAGAUGACUGUAGCACCAUUGAUUUCACAAAUUUGUCAACACAAGAC